GAUGAACGCUGGCGGCGUGCCUAAUACAUGCAAGUCGAGCGAACGGACGAGAAGCUUGCUUUUCUGAUGUUAGCGGCGGACGGGUGAGUAACACGUGGAUAACCUACCUAUAAGACUGGGAUAACUUCGGGAAACCGGAGCUAAUACCGGAUAAUAUUUUGAACCGCAUGGUUCAAAAGUGAAAGACGGUCUUGCUGUCACUUAUAGAUGGAUCCGCGCUGCAUUAGCUAGUUGGUAAGGUAACGGCUUACCAAGGCAACGAUGCAUAGCCGACCUGAGAGGGUGAUCGGCCACACUGGAACUGAGACACGGUCCAGACUCCUACGGGAGGCAGCAGUAGGGAAUCUUCCGAAAUGGGCGAAAGCCUGACGGAGCAACGCCGCGUGAGUGAUGAAGGUCUUCGGAUCGUAAAACUCUGUUAUUAGGGAAGAACAAAUGUGUAAGUAACUGUGCACGUCUUGACGGUACCUAAUCAGAAAGCCACGGCUAACUACGUG
Molecule: ribosomal RNA, 497 nt
Filed under: uncultured bacterium
Lineage: Bacteria
Description: partial 16S ribosomal RNA
Rfam family: Bacterial small subunit ribosomal RNA
Source: RNAcentral